AAAAACUCAUCUUCUAAAUAUUGCUCUGCCUUCUCUCUAAAAUAUCACCCUGUUCAACAGUUCAAUUUUUGAAUAGGUGCUGCUCAAACGUUCACCGCAUCAAGGGCUCCGUAACGGACCGAACGGGUUCUUGUUCCAACCGGAUAAAGGAGACUUAAAAACGCACAUCCCUGAUCAUAGAGCAGCUCUGGCCUGGUCCAGUACGUUGUGACUAGUCAUAUGUGCUAGCACCGAAGGAUGUAUGUAUGGUGUUCUUGAGUGGUUGUAAAGCAUAUGAAUGUGAACUAUGAUGUAAUUGAGUAUGAAGUGGACAUCUCAGGUUGAGAUGAUUGAAAGUGAUGUGUGGGGUGUUGUGGUUGUUCUGUAUAACUGUAUGGAGCUUUGAACUGAUAUGUCUAUCCCUACACUCGAAGCAUUGUUCAUGCUCAAAUAGAG
RNAcentral lists this small RNA (435 nucleotides) under Vigna angularis var. angularis. Its description in RNAcentral is "Non-protein coding transcript". Lineage: Eukaryota; Viridiplantae; Streptophyta; Magnoliopsida; Fabales; Fabaceae. The record is from RNAcentral.